This 82-nucleotide transfer RNA is filed under the name Luteipulveratus halotolerans. It matches the Rfam family "tRNA". Rfam says of the family: Transfer RNA (tRNA) molecules are approximately 80 nucleotides in length. Their secondary structure includes four short double-helical elements and three loops (D, anti-codon, and T loops). The record is from Rfam by way of RNAcentral. Lineage: Bacteria; Bacillati; Actinomycetota; Actinomycetes; Micrococcales; Dermacoccaceae.
GCGCGAGUGGUGGAACUGGCAGACACACUGGCUUUAGGUGCCAGCGCCUUCGGGUGUGCGGGUUCGAGUCCCGCCUCGCGCA